This 682-nucleotide ribosomal RNA is filed under the name uncultured bacterium. RNAcentral describes it as "bacterial SSU rRNA". It matches the Rfam family "Bacterial small subunit ribosomal RNA", at positions 26 to 695 of the family's 1533-position model. The record is from RNAcentral.
AGAUUGAACGCUGGCGGCAGGCCUAACACAUGCAAGUCGAGCGGAAACAGAGAGUAACUUGUUACUUUGCUGUCGAGCGGCGGACGGGUGAGUAAUGCUUGGGAAACUGCCCAGUCGAGGGGGACAACUAUUGGAAACGAUGGCUAAUACCGCAUACGCCCUACGGGGGAAAGAAGGGGACUCUUCGGAGCCUUUCGCGAUUGGAUGUGCCCAAGUGGGAUUAGCUAGUUGGUGAGGUAAAGGCUCACCAAGGCAACGAUCCCUAGCUGGUUUGAGAGGAUGAUCAGCCACACUGGAACUGAGACACGGUCCAGACUCCUACGGGAGGCAGCAGUGGGGAAUAUUGCACAAUGGGCGCAAGCCUGAUGCAGCCAUGCCGCGUGUAUGAAGAAGGCCUUCGGGUUGUAAAGUACUUUCAGCGAGGAGGAAAGGUUACGUGUUAAUAGCACGUAGCUGUGACGUUACUCGCAGAAGAAGGACCGGCUAACUCCGUGCCAGCAGCCGCGGUAAUACGGAGGGUCCGAGCGUUAAUCGGAAUUACUGGGCGUAAAGCGUACGCAGGCGGUUUGUUAAGCGAGAUGUGAAAGCCCCGGGCUCAACCUGGGAACUGCAUUUCGAACUGACAAACUAGAGUUUUGUAGAGGGUGGUAGAAUUUCAGGUGUAGCGGUGAAAUGCGUAGAG